Molecule: ribosomal RNA, 987 nt
Filed under: uncultured bacterium
Lineage: Bacteria
Description: bacterial SSU rRNA
Rfam family: Bacterial small subunit ribosomal RNA
Source: RNAcentral
AGAGUUUGAUCAUGGCUCAGAAUCAACGCUGGCGGCGCGCCUAACACAUGCAAGUCGAACGGGAAAGUGGGCAACCAUGAGUACAGUGGCGUACGGGUGAGUAGCACGUGGGUAAUCUACCUCUUAGUGGGGAAUAACCCUGGGAAACCGGGGCUAAUACCGCAUGAGCUCGAGAGAGGAAAGCAGCAAUGCGCUGAGAGAGGAGCCCGCGGCCGAUUAGCUAGUUGGUAGGGUAAAAGCCUACCAAGGCAAAGAUCGGUAGCCGGCCUGAGAGGGCACACGGCCACACUGGCACUGAAACACGGGCCAGACUCCUACGGGAGGCAGCAGUGGGGAAUCUUGCACAAUGGGGGAAACCCUGAUGCAGCGACGCCGCGUGAGCGAUGAAGCCCUUCGGGGUGUAAGGCUCUUUCGGCAGGGAAGAUGAUGACGGUACCUGCAGAAGCAGCUGCGGCUAACUACGUGCCAGCAGCCGCGGUAAUACGUAGGCAGCAAGCGUUGUUCGGAGUUACUGGGCGUAAAGGGUGUGUAGGCGGUUCUUUAAGUUUGGUGUGAAAUCUCCCGGCUCAACCGGGAGGGUGCGCCGAAUACUGAGGGACUCGAGUGCGGGAGAGGAAAGUGGAAUUCCUGGUGUAGCGGUGAAAUGCGUAGAUAUCAGGAGGAACACCGGUGGUGUAGACGGCUUUCUGGACCGUAACUGACGCUGAGACACGAAAGCGUGGGUAGCAAACAGGAUUAGAUACCCUGGUAGUCCACGCCCUAAACGAUGCAUAUUUGGUGUGGGCAGUUCAUUCUGUCCGUGCCGGAGCUAACGCGUUAAAUAUGCCGCCUGGGGAGUACAGUCGCAAGGCUGAAACUCAAAGGAAUUGACGGGGGGCCCGCACAAGCGGUGGAGCAUGUGGGUUCAAUUCGACGCAACGCGAAGAACCCUUACCUGGGCUCGAACGGGUAGUCAACGGGAGGUGGAAACAUCUUUUACCCCCGCAG